GUCACUAAGAAUUAUGAUGUUUAUCCUUAUGGUCAUAAGAUCCAUCUAAAGUGUACUUAUGUCUUCGGCCUAACUUUUGGGCUAACAAGUAUUGGAUUUUGAUUUAGAUUCAACUCUUGACCCAAUGUCAAUGAUGAGUCAACCAUAUGUCAACAUUUGACUUAAAUCAAUUAGAUUUCAAAAUUUAGUCAAAUCCUAAUCC
RNAcentral lists this long non-coding RNA (202 nucleotides) under Elaeis guineensis (African oil palm). RNAcentral describes it as "long non-coding RNA (EGUI_LNC014612)". Lineage: Eukaryota; Viridiplantae; Streptophyta; Magnoliopsida; Arecales; Arecaceae. The record is from RNAcentral.